Molecule: ribosomal RNA, 254 nt
Filed under: uncultured bacterium
Lineage: Bacteria
Description: partial 16S ribosomal RNA
Rfam family: Bacterial small subunit ribosomal RNA
Source: RNAcentral
UACGUAGGGGGCGAGCGUUGUCCGGAUUCAUUGGGCGUAAAGAGCUCGUAGGCGGUUCGGUAAGUCAGAUGUGAAAACUCCGGGCUCAACUCGGAGAGGCCAUCUGAUACUGCCGUGACUGGAGUUCGGUAGAGGAGUGUGGAAUUCCCGGUGUAGCGGUGAAAUGCGCAGAUAUCGGGAGGAACACCAGCGGCGAAGGCGGCACUCUGGGCCGAUACUGACGCUGAGGAGCGAAAGCGUGGGGAGCGAACAGG